RNAcentral lists this ribosomal RNA (253 nucleotides) under uncultured bacterium. Its description in RNAcentral is "partial 16S ribosomal RNA". It matches the Rfam family "Bacterial small subunit ribosomal RNA", at positions 524 to 776 of the family's 1533-position model. The record is from RNAcentral.
UACGUAGGGAGCAAGCGUUGUCCGGAAUCAUUGGGCGUAAAGCGCGCGUAGGUGGCCUCAUAAGUCCGCUGUGAAAGUCAAAGGCUCAACCUUUGAAAGCCGGUGGAUACUGUGAGGCUAGAGUACGGAAGAGGCGAGUGGAAUUCCUGGUGUAGCGGUGGAAUGCGCAGAUAUCAGGAGGAACACCAAUAGCGAAGGCAGCUCGCUGGGACGUUACUGACACUGAGGAGCGAAAGCGUGGGGAGCGAACAGG